This 253-nucleotide ribosomal RNA is filed under the name uncultured bacterium. Its description in RNAcentral is "partial 16S ribosomal RNA". It matches the Rfam family "Bacterial small subunit ribosomal RNA", at positions 524 to 776 of the family's 1533-position model. The record is from RNAcentral.
UACAGAGGUCUCAAGCGUUGUUCGGAUUCAUUGGGCGUAAAGGGUGCGUAGGCGGCGCGGUAAGUCGGGUGUGAAAUCUCGGGGCUCAACUCCGAAACUGCAUUCGAUACUACCGUGCUUGAGGACUGGAGAGGAGACUGGAAUUUACGGUGUAGCGGUGAAAUGCGUAGAUAUCGUAAGGAAGACCAGUGGCGAAGGCGGGUCUCUGGACAGUUCCUGACGCUGAGGCACGAAGGCCAGGGGAGCAAACGGG